RNAcentral lists this ribosomal RNA (495 nucleotides) under uncultured soil bacterium. Its description in RNAcentral is "bacterial SSU rRNA". It matches the Rfam family "Bacterial small subunit ribosomal RNA", at positions 28 to 513 of the family's 1533-position model. The record is from RNAcentral.
GAUGAACGCUAGCGGCAGGCUUAAUACAUGCAAGUCGUGGGGCAGCAUGACUGUAGCAAUACAGUUGAUGGCGACCGGCAAACGGGUGCGGAACACGUACACAACCUUCCUUUUAGUGGAGAAUAGCCCAGGGAAACUUGGAUUAAUACUCCGUAACAUAUAGAAGUGGCAUCACUUUUAUAUUAUAGCAGCAAUGCGCUAGAAGAUGGGUGUGCGGCUGAUUAGAUAGUUGGCGGGGUAACGGCCCACCAAGUCGACGAUCAGUAACUGGUGUGAGAGCACGACAGUCACACGGGCACUGAGACACGGGCCCGACUCCUACGGGAGGCAGCAGUAAGGAAUAUUGGUCAAUGGACGCAAGUCUGAACCAGCCAUGCCGCGUGGAGGAUGAAGGUCCUCUGGAUUGUAAACUUCUUUUAUUUGGGAAGAAAUCUAUCUUUUCUUGGAUAGUUGACGGUACCAGAUGAAUAAGCACCGGCUAACUCCGUGCCAGCA